This 45-nucleotide non-coding RNA is filed under the name Saccharomycodes ludwigii. RNAcentral describes it as "Histone3". It matches the Rfam family "Histone 3' UTR stem-loop". From Rfam's summary of the family: The mRNAs of metazoan histone genes lack a poly-A tail. 3' end processing occurs at a site between a highly conserved stem-loop (modelled by this family) and a purine rich region around 20 nts downstream (the histone downstream element, or HDE). The record is from RNAcentral. Lineage: Eukaryota; Fungi; Ascomycota; Saccharomycetes; Saccharomycodales; Saccharomycodaceae.
AAAUAGGUUUUUUUAAAACCACAUACUUUCGAAAACUGAUAAUAU